AAAACACUGGCGGUCCCGCCGCGGCGCCUUCGCGUAGUAGAUUUACAACUCGCAUUGGGUCCCGGCGAAGGCCAGCCGUCAAACCCUCUAUUCUUAUGGUUUGACCUCGGAUCAGGUAGGGUUACCCGCUGAACUUAAGCAUAUCAAUAAGCGGAGGAAAAGAAACCAACAGGGAUUGCCUCAGUAACGGCGAGUGAAGCGGCAACAGCUCAAAUUUGAAAUCUGGCCGCCUGUGCGGUCCGAGUUGUAAUUUGAAGAGGAUGCUUUUGGCAAGGUGCCUUCCGAGUGCCCUGGAAUGGGACGCCAUAGAGGGUGAGAGCCCCGUAUGGUCGGUCGCCGAGCCUCUGUAAAGCUCCUUCGACGAGUCGAGUAGUUUGGGAAUGCUGCUCAAAAUGGGAGGUAAACCCCUUCUAAAGCUAAAUAUUGGCCAGAGACCGAUAGCGCACAAGUAGAGUGAUCGAAAGAUGAAAAGCACUUUGAAAAGAGAGUUAAACAGCACGUGAAAUUGUUGAAAGGGAAGCGCUUGCGACCAGACUUGUGCUCGUCGAAUCAGCC
RNAcentral lists this ribosomal RNA (555 nucleotides) under Lomentospora prolificans. Its description in RNAcentral is "LSU rRNA". The stretch from base 102 to 555 matches the Rfam family "Eukaryotic large subunit ribosomal RNA", at positions 1 to 454 of the family's 3401-position model. The record is from RNAcentral. Lineage: Eukaryota; Fungi; Ascomycota; Sordariomycetes; Microascales; Microascaceae.